GGAGAUGGUAGAUCACUCUUAAAGCCGCGUCAAUACUGGUUUUACAAGAAGAUAAUUUACGCCCCUGCUAAGGGCGCAUCCGGGCAAAACCUGGAUCCAGGGUUCGAAUCCCUGCGUCUCCGCCA
This 125-nucleotide transfer RNA is filed under the name Candidatus Nitricoxidivorans perseverans. RNAcentral's name for it is "tRNA-OTHER". Lineage: Bacteria; Pseudomonadati; Pseudomonadota; Betaproteobacteria; Nitrosomonadales; Sterolibacteriaceae. The record is from RNAcentral.